UUGGAACUUGGAACUUGGCACGAAGUUACACCGGAGUUAACCAAAGUUGAUUGCGUUCCAGUGUCCAAAGUCUGAAAACAAGGACACCCCCAGGAAAGCCUUUGUAAAAAUAUGAGGUCGACCUCAAAAACAUGAUGGGAGGAGAGAGAAGACGCAGAAGUAGGCCUUGGCUGUAUCCACCAAACACUAAUCCACCCCCAUUAGUGAGUCUGCCCACUGACACCUGGCGCUACUCAGUCUGAUUUGCACAGUGAUCCAAACAAGUGCAGCCCAAUCACCCUUUCACCUCUUCCUCAAGAGACCUGGAAUUAAAAGGCCCCAUUGUCAUUCCUACUGAAACUUCAAAGGAUCUCCUACAGACAGGACAUUGCCAUUUCAGCAUGGUGGAAGAUGAACCAUGGUUCCCUCAAAAUAACCAACAUAUAUUAUAAGGACCAUUAGAAAAUUAAUUUUAUUAAUAUACCAUAAAGGAUUAAAAAUGUCAUUCCCCUUCUUGAGAAAGCCAGCAGAAGUAGUGUAAGAAAAUAAUUUGUGCUUAUUCUAUGAUUUUGUGUGCUAUAAAAAUGUAUGAAAUUGUGUAUUGCUCCCUCUUUGAAUAACUUCUCCAACUUUCAAUGAAACAUUUUAUAUUUUGCACCAAUGUGUAGGGGAGAUUAUAACCUGAACAGUGACAACUGGUUGUACAAAGGAUUUAAGAAAAAAACACAGAACAAAAACACAAUGUUUCAGCCAAUCAAAAGGGAAACUCAGUACUUAGCC
Esox lucius (northern pike) is the source of this 759-nucleotide long non-coding RNA. RefSeq lists it as uncharacterized. The transcript is spliced from 3 exons. NCBI's taxonomy places the organism in Eukaryota, Metazoa, Chordata, Actinopteri, Esociformes, Esocidae. The record is from RefSeq and is a predicted model, not a curated record.